CCUACGAGAGGCAGCAGUGAGGAAUAUUGGUCAAUGGGCGCGAGCCUGAACCAGCCCAGUAGCGUGAAGGAUGACUGCCCUACGGGUUGUAAACUUCUUUUAUAAAAGAAUAAAGUGAGGCACGUGUGCCUUUUUGUAUGUACUUUAUUAAUAAGGAUCGGCUAACUCCGUGCCAGCAGCCGCGGUAAGACGGAGGAUCCGAGCGUUCGCCGGAUUUAUUGGGGUUAAAGGGAGCGUAGAUGGGUUGUUAAGUCAGUUGUGAAAGUUUGCGGCUCAACCGUAAAAUUGCAAUUGAUACUGGCAGUCUUGAGUACAGUUGAGGUAGGCGGAAUUCGUGGUGUAGCGGUGAAAUGCUUAGAUAUCACGAAGAACUCCGAUUGCGAAGGCAGCUUACUAAACUGCCACUGACAUUGAUGCUCGAAAGUGUGGGUAUCAAACAGGAUUAGAUACCCUGGUAGUC
Molecule: ribosomal RNA, 460 nt
Filed under: uncultured bacterium
Lineage: Bacteria
Description: partial 16S ribosomal RNA
Rfam family: Bacterial small subunit ribosomal RNA
Source: RNAcentral